CAUUUUGUCCUUUGAGUUGCUAGAAAGAGAGAGAAAGAGAGAGAGGUGAAGCGGGCUCAGUGGAUACCACGAUUGCAAGCUUCUUUGGUGCUUCUGUCGUCGUCUUCAUUUUGUGCUUUGAGUUGCUAGAAGGAGAGAGAAAGAGAGAGAGGUGAAGCGGGCUCAGUGGAUACCACGAUUGCAAGCUUCUUUGGUGCUUCUGUCGUCGUCUUCAUUUUGUGCUUUGAGUUGCUAGAAGGAGAGAGAAAGAGAGAGAGGUGAAGCGGGCUCAGUGGAUACCACGAUUGCAAGGUCAAUUCAG
This is a long non-coding RNA of Gopherus evgoodei (Goodes thornscrub tortoise), 301 nucleotides long. RefSeq lists it as uncharacterized. The record is from RefSeq and is a predicted model, not a curated record. NCBI's taxonomy places the organism in Eukaryota, Metazoa, Chordata, Testudines, Testudinidae. The transcript has 3 exons.